UUGGCUUAGAAGCAGCCAUCAUUUAAAGAAAGCGUAAUAGCUCACUGGUCGAGUCGGCCUGCGCGGAAGAUGUAACGGGGCUAAACCAUGCACCGAAGCUGCGGCAGCGACACUGUGUGUUGUUGGGUAGGGGAGCGUUCUGUAAGCCUGUGAAGGUGUGCUGUGAGGCAUGCUGGAGGUAUCAGAAGUGCGAAUGCUGACAUAAGUAACGAUAAAGCGGGUGAAAAGCCCGCUCGCCGGAAGACCAAGGGUUCCUGUCCAACGUUAAUCGGGGCAGGGU
Molecule: ribosomal RNA, 280 nt
Filed under: Escherichia coli
Lineage: Bacteria; Pseudomonadati; Pseudomonadota; Gammaproteobacteria; Enterobacterales; Enterobacteriaceae
Description: partial 23S ribosomal RNA
Rfam family: Bacterial large subunit ribosomal RNA
Source: RNAcentral